UACGUAGGGCGCAAGCGUUAUCCGGAAUCAUUGGGCGUAAAGCGCGUGUAGGCGGCUGGCUAAGUCCGCUCUGAAAGCCCGGGGCUCAACCCCGGGAGGCGGGUGGAUACUGGUCAGCUCGAGUCCGGAAGAGGAGUGUGGAAUUCCUGGUGUAGCGGUGAAAUGCGCAGAUAUCAGGAGGAACACCAAUGGCGAAGGCAGCACUCUGGGACGGUACUGACGCUGAGACGCGAAAGCGUGGGGAGCAAACAGG
Molecule: ribosomal RNA, 253 nt
Filed under: uncultured bacterium
Lineage: Bacteria
Description: partial 16S ribosomal RNA
Rfam family: Bacterial small subunit ribosomal RNA
Source: RNAcentral